GAUGAACGCUGGCGGCGUGCCUAAUACAUGCAAGUCGAGCGAACAGACGAGGAGCUUGCUCCUCUGACGUUAGCGGCGGACGGGUGAGUAACACGUGGAUAACCUACCUAUAAGACUGGGAUAACUUCGGGAAACCGGAGCUAAUACCGGAUAAUAUAUUGAACCGCAUGGUUCAAUAGUGAAAGACGGUUUUGCUGUCACUUAUAGAUGGAUCCGCGCCGCAUUAGCUAGUUGGUAAGGUAACGGCUUACCAAGGCAACGAUGCGUAGCCGACCUGAGAGGGUGAUCGGCCAAACUGGAACUGAGACACGGUCCAGACUCCUAGGGGGGGCAGCAGUAGGGAUUCUUCCGCAAUGGGCGAAGGCCUGACGGAGCAACGCCGGGGGAGUGAUGAAGGUCUUCGGAUCGUAAAACUCUGUUUUUAGGGAAAAAAAAAUUUGUAAGUAACUAAGCACGUUUUGACGGUACCAAAAAAAAAAGCCCCGGCAAACUACG
RNAcentral lists this ribosomal RNA (495 nucleotides) under uncultured bacterium. Its description in RNAcentral is "partial 16S ribosomal RNA". It matches the Rfam family "Bacterial small subunit ribosomal RNA", at positions 28 to 505 of the family's 1533-position model. The record is from RNAcentral.